Molecule: ribosomal RNA, 250 nt
Filed under: uncultured bacterium
Lineage: Bacteria
Description: partial small subunit ribosomal RNA
Rfam family: Bacterial small subunit ribosomal RNA
Source: RNAcentral
AGAAUCAACGCUGGCGGCGUGCCUAACACAUGCAAGUCGCACGAGAAAGUGGAGCAAUCCAUGAGUAAAGUGGCGCACGGGUGAGUAACACGUGAAUUAUCUACCUCCGAGUGGGGAAUAACUGAGAGAAAUCUUAGCUAAUACCGCAUAACACUUACGAGUCAAAGCAGCAAUGCGCUUGGAGAGGAGUUCGCGGCCGAUUAGUUAGUUGGCGGGGUAAUGGCCCACCAAGACGAUGAUCGGUAUCCGG